UAGGGAAUCUUCCGCAAUGGACGCAAGUCUGACGGAGCAACGCCGCGUGAGUGAAGAAGGAUUUCGGUUCGUAAAACUCUGUUGUUAGAGAAGAACAGCGCAUAGAGUAACUGUUAUGCGUGUGACGGUAUCUAACCAGAAAGCCACGGCUAACUACGUGCCAGCAGCCGCGGUAAUACGUAGGUGGCAAGCGUUGUCAGGAUUUAUUGGGCGUAAAGCGAGCGCAGGCGGUCAAUUAAGUCUGAUGUGAAAGCCCCCGGCUCAACCGGGGAGGGUCAUUGGAAACUGGUUGACUUGAGUGCAGAAGAGGAGGGUGGAAUUCCAUGUGUAGCGGUGAAAUGCGUAGAUAUAUGGAGGAACACCAGUGGCGAAGGCGACUCUCUGGUCUGUAACUGACGCUGAGGCUUGAAAGCGGGGGUAGCAAGCAGG
This 429-nucleotide ribosomal RNA is filed under the name Bacteroidota bacterium. RNAcentral's name for it is "Bacteroidetes bacterium partial 16S ribosomal RNA". It matches the Rfam family "Bacterial small subunit ribosomal RNA", at positions 355 to 776 of the family's 1533-position model. The record is from RNAcentral. Lineage: Bacteria; Pseudomonadati; Bacteroidota.